CCCAGAACAGAGUUUUCAGAAGCAAGGAAGAAAAAAGGACAAGUGGGAACACUCCUACUUUUUAAAGCCCAAGAGCAUGAGCAGGAGAGAAGUUCAACACAUGAUAUGAUGGACAUGAAACCACUCUCUUAAUUUCAACAGAAGCAACCCAGAAACAAGUGGAAAAAC
RNAcentral lists this long non-coding RNA (168 nucleotides) under Chinchilla lanigera (long-tailed chinchilla). RNAcentral describes it as "lncRNA (ENSCLAG00000024002.1)". The record is from RNAcentral. Lineage: Eukaryota; Metazoa; Chordata; Mammalia; Rodentia; Chinchillidae.